Gallus gallus (chicken) is the source of this 4067-nucleotide long non-coding RNA. The record is from Ensembl. Lineage: Eukaryota; Metazoa; Chordata; Aves; Galliformes; Phasianidae.
UGACUUUCUGUAGAUUGGGUGGUCUGUGCUGGGGCUGAGGAACAAAGAUCCUAACUCUAGUGAUAGUCUGUUUAUGGAAAAAAAUGCUAAUCUCUGCACAAUUAGCAUUGAAUUUGACUUCAAUUUUCCUAUUUCUGAAGAGAACUCCCUACAAUUAUCUCCCUCCAAUAGCAUGUUUUAAAAAGUUAAAUAUUUUUAAGUGCCUAAUAUAGAAUGCCCCAAAACUUUGCAACUUGACAAGAUUUCAAAAGUGAGCAUAUGCAAAAAGCAUCAUUUUAAGGUCAAUGGCAUCAAGCAAUUGCCAUUGUUUAAGGUCAGAUCAAAGGCUUUCUUAGUCAGAGCUAACAGAUUAGCGGUGAUGGAGGUGUUUCUAUUUUGACAUGAAGAAUGCUUGGUCUGUAUUUUAGAAGAGAAGGUUGAGCGUGGUAUCUGGUGAAAUAAAAAAAAUUCUCGAUUAGAAAACGGAGUUAACAAUAAUCUGAAGAAAAUGUUCUACAGAAAGAUUGUCACCUGCUUACUUAGCAUUGGACUGAUUUACCAUCAAUACAGAAACAUUUGUAGGCGAACAAAAGUAUGGGACUAAGCAACCUUCUCUCUCUCUCUCUCUCUCUCUCUCUCUCUCUCUCAAAUUUAUAACUCUGAAUUAAAGGUGCCAGAGGUAGAUUUAGUGCCAGACUCUGUAAGUCAGCACUGAAGUUGCUGACUUUCUGAUCUGCUAAGGUUACAGAGAAACCACAAGUAAUGACUAGUCAUACCUUGUACCUUCAAUAAAGUCAUUUAAGUCAUUAUCUAAAGCUAUUUAUUUUAAGCAAUUAAAAGUUUAAACAUAUCUGACAUUUCUCAAGCAAUUUUCAGUAUAUUUAAAAGAAUCCAUAGCUUGUGAGGUUCAGCUUUCUUGGUUAUUCCUACAUUUCUAAUUCCUUCAGGGAGGGAAUUUCUGCACUUAGCUGUUGGAAACAGUAUUUCUACUGCAGAAUGGGGACUGUGUAAAGCAUGUGGGAAGGAAUCUAAAGGUCUCUGCUGCGUGGUUACAAGCAGAGAGAAAACAGAACCCUUAGAGAGCAAAGGGGCGUACAAACAAGGCAAGGGAAAGAUUCAUUCUGCAUGUUAAUGAAAACCUAGAACAUAGCUGCAGAUGUGUGUUUCAUCCAAAGAUAAUGCUGAAAGACUGGGAUAAAAUUUAGUAAUACCCAUGUGAAGUCAGACACUUAAAGAAAUGCAAUUUCUGCAGUUACCUGUUGGAGAUAUUAAAGUGAGGGAAAAGCAAAGCAUGUUUAUUAGUUGUGGAAUGUCUCUGAGCUGUAGAUGUAAUACAGCUGAGUAAAAGAUAAAUGCUAUCUUAGGGCAUAACAUGUAAGGUGUUUUCAGCAGACAUAGUGAAAUUAUCUGUGCCUUUAUAGAAGGUAUUUGUAGGCUAUAUACAGUACAGAGGUUUCAUCACCCAUGUUGAUGAAGAAUCGAAUCAAACUGGAAUGGAUAUAGAGGCAAGCUAUUGGGAAAGAAUAGAAAAGCCCAACAAGCAAAAGUACCUGAAUAGGUGUUGUCUUAUUUAUAUGUAUCUAUAAAUAUAAGCAAUGAAUUUCUGAAAGAGUCAGGGAAAAAAAAUGGGAUACAACUUGGUCAGUUAAUGGAAAGGAACCCAAGUCUUGUGUUCCCAUGUGUGGUACCCAUCCUGCUCCAAAUAGCAAAGGUCUGCAAUUUUGCAUUCUCUUGAGAUUGCCCUGGGGAAUGAGGAGUUCUCAGUGAGAUGGAGCCUCUUCUCGUAUCCUUUAUCCUUAUCCUCAUCCCCUCAUACAGGCUGAGAACCAACUCAAUCAGCCUUUCCCUUCAGCAUUUCAGGUCAACCCAAAGGAUUUGUACAAACUGCCAACGCCCUGCUUGUGAAUAUGUCCCUGCCUUGAGGCAAAGCAAGAGCAACUCUGUAGCCAGGCCCAAAAGCAGGAAUUAAGGCUCUUCCUUUGUACGUCAGUGUGUUGUUCAGCAGUUUCCAGCUCUCACACCCUGCUGCACCAUAUCUGUGCCCAUGAGCACUGCUGAGUGCAGAAACAGCGUACUGCCUGCUGUGUCAGGAGCUGUCUCCCUGUCACAGUUCAGUCCUGUAGCAACGUGGCUGUACUCCAGCAGUAAUGUAAAUCCUUGUCUCCCUCAUAGUACUGCCAAGCAAGGUAACUGCUUCAGCCUGCUGAUCUGGCAGGCAGCAGAUCCAGAUGUUUCUCAUCCCGCACAUGUCAAACAAGCAAAAAGUCAUGGCUUCAAAAUUUACAAGACUGGCUUUAAAAUCCCGAGAAAUCUUAAGAUUAAUUCUCUGCAAAUCCCUUUUGUUUUGGUUUCUGUUUUUCUCAGCCUCUUCUGAGCCUGUCACGAGGAAAAAAGUCACAUCUUGCACCUUUUCCUUUUAGUCUAUAAGCAAAAGUAAACUAAUAGAUGAAAACUGAGAAUGUCACGUGAGCAUCUCUCUUCAGCAGGUGACGCUUUACAGAAAUAAUCACACCACAGGGCACAGGAGAAAACCUCUAGAGUUGGCAAAGCCGUAUUUGAUAAAGUCAAGAUCUGUGUUUGUCCAGAGAUGGUGAAAUUCCUCUCUGGUGCAGCAUUCACCCAAGCCCAGAGGAAGAUGCAGGGUGCCCAGCUGCAUUUUGGAGAGCUGGCGCUUUGGGACCCUGUCACAUCUGAGCUAUGAAUGUGGCAAGAUGAAGGAAGUUCUGGCAGCUUACCAUGCCCCUGGCUCUGCAGAGUUAAGCGAGACGUGCGCCCAUGUUCUAGCAUGCAUCACAUCGCCUCUCGGGUCUGAAGUGCCAGAAGGAUCCCAGCGCUGCAGACUGAGACGGCUCUGAGCACCUCAGUACCCCGUUUCUGACAGAACCCAGGGAUGGCAAACUUACAUACCAGUAUUACCUGUCUGGCGCAGGUUUAAUUUUAUAAAUUAAAACCAUAAACUCUAUGAGUUUCUAGACCAUAUUUGUGCUGUUGAGGAUGAUCUACUCAGAUGAACAGUUUUGCAUCCAUCGGAGAGAAAGGUUCUUCUGCUGGACCAGAAGGCAACAUUAUUGUAACUAAUACCAUUUGUAGCAUCUCCUAGUGCAAAUAAUUGAAGAACAGGUUGCAAGAAAAUCCUCUAGGGAAUAAGACAUGCUUUGUUUUGGUCUUCAGAUUUUAAAAAAAUGUUGUUUUUUUAAAGGUAACCACUUUUACAUAACACUAUGUGUGCAGUCUAUGUGCAGCUCUUCACUGUGACUAUCUAUAUUCCAGAGAUUUUUAAUUACUUGUCAGGCACCUGAACCUUUUUUAGAUUUGUGAUGGAUCCUUAAAUUAUGUAUCCUUAAGUAUCAUGGAAAACUAGAAAGGAAAAGUUUCAGGGCUUUUAUUUGACUAAAUGUCUCCACUUAGUCCCUGUUAGUGUCUUGAAUGGUGGAGGAAAGGGUGGGAAGUAGGAAAACAAUACAAGAAAAAAACAACAAUACAUUGUGGGCUUGGUGUUCGGUUUGGCAUAUCAGAAUAUGUUUGAUCAAAUAACUAAGGAGAGAGAAACAGCUAACUUACCUGAGCCCUCACAUGAAAGGUCAGUAUUUUGGGGGGCAGUAUUUGCUAAUUUUGUCUCCAAAAUAGCUAUAGAAAAGAGGGAAUAUAUAUUAAGCCCCAACAUGUGUGAAAAGGACAUACUUGCCAUUCCUCUAUUUAUUUUUGCUCUUUCAAAAAUCAAAGUGCCAGUUAUUUGGAAUGCUGUAGUCUGUGGUCUCUUUAAAUUUGUUUGGUGAGAUCCUUUCAGCAAGAUCAUUCCCAUUACGGUGUAACUGCAUGGUGACCACAGCUUUGGGCCUGUAUAAUAAAGAUCUGAAUUCAAAUUUUUGUUUCUGAUCAUUUUCUCUACUUUUAUGUCAUAUCUGCAAAGUGUUGGAUUGGAAUCAUACUUACUGCUGAUUGCUGCUUAGAAGUUUUGGCAAAAAGAAAUUCAGAGAUGAAAGUGUUUAUAUGGUAGGACCCUGAUUCUCCUUUGUAUUGUUAUUUACACCAGGUUGAAAGGCAGAGGGAUGUUAGCAAAUCAAUAGUGAUGCUUAAAUUUGAUUUAC